CCCUUAGAUGUUCUGGGCCGCACGCGCGCUACACUGAUGCAUUCAACGAGUUUCUUCCUGGUCCGAGAGGAAUGGGUAACCUUUUGAAAGUGCAUCGUGAUAGGGAUAGACUAUUGCAAUUAUUGGUCUUCAACGAGGAAUUCCUAGUAGACGUAGUUCAUCAGACUGCAUCGAUUACGUCCCUGCCCUUUGUACACACCGCCCGUCGCACCUACCGAUUGAAUGGUCCGGUGAGGACUCGGGAUUGUGGUUUAGCUCCUUCAUUGGGGCCUGACUGCGAGAACUUGUCCGAACCUUAUCAUUUAGAGGAAGGUGAAGUCGUAACA
This 326-nucleotide ribosomal RNA is filed under the name uncultured eukaryote. RNAcentral describes it as "partial 18S ribosomal RNA". It matches the Rfam family "Eukaryotic small subunit ribosomal RNA", at positions 1470 to 1796 of the family's 1831-position model. The record is from RNAcentral.